Molecule: ribosomal RNA, 700 nt
Filed under: uncultured bacterium
Lineage: Bacteria
Description: bacterial SSU rRNA
Rfam family: Bacterial small subunit ribosomal RNA
Source: RNAcentral
ACGCGUGGGAACGUGCCCUUCUCUAAGGAAUAACCAUUGGAGACGAUGACUAAUACCUUAUACGCCCUUGGGGGGAAAGAUUUAUCGGAGAAGGAUCGGCCCGCGUUAGAUUAGAUAGUUGGUGGGGUAAUGGCCUACCAAGUCUACGAUCUAUAGCUGGUUUUAGAGGAUGAUCAGCAACACUGGGACUGAGACACGGCCCAGACUCCUACGGGAGGCAGCAGUGGGGAAUCUUAGACAAUGGGCGCAAGCCUGAUCUAGCCAUGCCGCGUGAGUGAUGAAGGUCUUAGGAUCGUAAAGCUCUUUCGCCAGGGAUGAUAAUGACAGUACCUGGUAAAGAAACCCCGGCUAACUCCGUGCCAGCAGCCGCGGUAAUACGGAGGGGGUUAGCGUUGUUCGGAAUUACUGGGCGUAAAGCGCGCGUAGGCGGAUCAGCAAGUUGGGGGUGAAAUCCCGGGGCUCAACCCCGGAACUGCCUCCAAAACUGUUGGUCUAGAGUUCGAGAGAGGUGAGUGGAAUUCCGAGUGUAGAGGUGAAAUUCGUAGAUAUUCGGAGGAACACCAGUGGCGAAGGCGGCUCACUGGCUCGAUACUGACGCUGAGGUGCGAAAGUGUGGGGAGCAAACAGGAUUAGAUACCCUGGUAGUCCACACCGUAAACGAUGAAUGCCAGUCGUCGGGCAGUAUACUGUUCGGUGACAC